Molecule: ribosomal RNA, 557 nt
Filed under: uncultured bacterium
Lineage: Bacteria
Description: bacterial SSU rRNA
Rfam family: Bacterial small subunit ribosomal RNA
Source: RNAcentral
ACGGGUGCGUAACGCGUGGGAAUCUGCCCUUGGGUUCGGAAUAACAGUUAGAAAUGACUGCUAAUACCGGAUGAUGUCCUCGGACCAAAGAUUUAUCGCCCAAGGAUGAGCCCGCGUAAGAUUAGCUAGUUGGUGGGGUAAUGGCCCACCAAGGCGACGAUCUUUAGCUGGUCUGAGAGGAUGAUCAGCCACACUGGGACUGAGACACGGCCCAGACUCCUACGGGAGGCAGCAGUGGGGAAUAUUGGACAAUGGGCGCAAGCCUGAUCCAGCAAUGCCGCGUGAGUGAUGAAGGCCUUAGGGUUGUAAAGCUCUUUUACCAGGGAUGAUAAUGACAGUACCUGGAGAAUAAGCUCCGGCUAACUCCGUGCCAGCAGCCGCGGUAAUACGGAGGGAGCUAGCGUUGUUCGGAAUUACUGGGCGUAAAGCGUACGUAGGCGGUUAUUCAAGUCAGAGGUGAAAGCCCGGGGCUCAACCCCGGAACGGCCUUUGAAACUAGGUAGCUAGAGUCUUGGAGAGGUUAGUGGAAUCCCGAGUGUAGAGGUGAAAUUCGUAGA